RNAcentral lists this ribosomal RNA (421 nucleotides) under uncultured bacterium. Its description in RNAcentral is "bacterial SSU rRNA". It matches the Rfam family "Bacterial small subunit ribosomal RNA", at positions 917 to 1341 of the family's 1533-position model. The record is from RNAcentral.
GGGCCCGCACAAGCGGUGGAGCAUGUGGUUUAAUUCGAUGAUACGCGAGGAACCUUACCAGGACUUAAAUGUAAGUUGCAUGAUUCAGAAAUGGAUCUUUCUUCGGACCACUUACAAGGUGCUGCAUGGUUGUCGUCAGCUCGUGCCGUGAGGUGUCAGGUUAAGUCCUAUAACGAGCGCAACCCCUAUCGUUAGUUGCCAUCAAGUAAAGUUGGGAACUCUAGCGAAACUGCCGGUGCAAACCGUGAGGAAGGUGGGGAUGACGUCAAAUCAUCACGGCCCUUACGUUCUGGGCUACACACGUGCUACAAUGGCCGGUACAGAAAGCAGCCACUAUGCGAAUAGGAGCUAAUCUUUAAAGCCGGUCUCAGUUCGGAUCGCAGUCUGCAACUCGACUGCGUGAAGCUGGAAUCGCUAGUAA